AUACGGAGGGUGCAAGCGUUAAUCGGAAUUACUGGGCGUAAAGCGCGCGUAGGCGGCUUGAUAAGUCGGAUGUGAAAUCCCCGGGCUUAACCUGGGAAUUGCAUUCGAUACUGUCAGGCUAGAGUGUGGUAGAGGGAAGUGGAAUUUCCGGUGUAGCGGUGAAAUGCGUAGAUAUCGGAAAGAACAUCAGUGGCGAAGGCGGCUUCCUGGAUCAACUCUGACGCUGAGGUGCGAAAGCGUGGGGAGCAAACAGGAUUAGAAACCCCAGUAGUCC
RNAcentral lists this ribosomal RNA (274 nucleotides) under uncultured bacterium. RNAcentral's name for it is "partial 16S ribosomal RNA". It matches the Rfam family "Bacterial small subunit ribosomal RNA", at positions 523 to 796 of the family's 1533-position model. The record is from RNAcentral.